AUUACCAGUCUGACGAGUGAGAUGUACUUCAGUAUGAAGAGAAAUGUGCACGCCUCCAGGAUCCGCUCCACGACACAACCUUGUUUCUUCUUUGCCCUUCCAUCUGUUCAUCCAUCCGACGCACAGCGCUGUCCUAGCGUGAGGCCACAAAUCGAUCUAAACAAGACCUGUCCCCAGAGGCUUCAGUGAAGAAUAUGACAAAACUGAAGCUUGGAGAAGUGCAGGAAAUUGCUCAACUUCACACUUGCUAAAACAUGAUUCUUGGGAGCAGAGGAUAGCCAAAUGUGCAAGAGGAAGCUACUGAAGAAGAUGCUCCAACAAAAUAAAGGAGAAAACCAGAGGAAACCAAAAGAAUCCCCAACAUAAUUGUUUAAAUGUGGCAAGAGAUACAAAUGUGGUCUCUUGUUCAGAGGAACCUCAGGACCCUGAGUAACAACUGGCCAG
Molecule: long non-coding RNA, 444 nt
Organism: Urocitellus parryii (Arctic ground squirrel)
Lineage: Eukaryota; Metazoa; Chordata; Mammalia; Rodentia; Sciuridae
Source: RefSeq, a predicted model, not a curated record